GACGAACGCUGGCGGCGUGCCUAAUACAUGCAAGUUGAGCGCUGAAGGUUGGUACUUGUACCCACUGGAUGAGCAGCGAACGGGUGAGUAACGCGUGGGGAAUCUGCCUUUGAGCGGGGGACAACAUUUGGAAACGAAUGCUAAUACCGCAUAAAACCUUUAAACACAAGUUUUAAGUUUGAAAGAUGCAAUUGCAUCACUCAAAGAUGAUCCCGCGUUGUAUUAGCUAGUUGGUGAGGUAAAGGCUCACCAAGGCGAUGAUACAUAGCCGACCUGAGAGGGUGAUCGGCCACAUUGGGACGGAGACACGGCCCAAACUCCUACGGGAGGCAGCAGUAGGGAAUCUUCGGCAAUGGACGAAAGUCUGACCGAGCAACGCCGCGUGAGUGAAGAAGGUUUUCGGAUCGUAAAACUCUGUUGGUAGAGAAGAACGUUGGUGAGAGUGGAAAGCUCAUCAAGUGACGGUAACUACCCAGAAAGGGACGGCUAACUACGUG
RNAcentral lists this ribosomal RNA (497 nucleotides) under uncultured bacterium. RNAcentral describes it as "partial 16S ribosomal RNA". It matches the Rfam family "Bacterial small subunit ribosomal RNA", at positions 28 to 507 of the family's 1533-position model. The record is from RNAcentral.